AACGGCGAGUGAAGCGGCAAAAGCUCAAAUUUGAAAUCUGGCUCCUUUGGGGCCCGAGUUGUAAUUUGCAGAGGAUGCUUCGGGCGUGGCCGCGGUCUAAGUCCCCUGGAACGGGGCGUCGCAGAGGGUGAGAAUCCCGUCUUCGGCCGGCCGGCUUCGCCCAUGUGAAGCUCCUUCGACGAGUCGAGUUGUUUGGGAAUGCAGCUCUAAAUGGGUGGUAAAUUUCAUCUAAAGCUAAAUAUUGGUCGGAGACCGAUAGCGCACAAGUAGAGUGAUCGAAAGAUGAAAAGCACUUUGAAAAGAGAGUUAAACAGCAUGUGAAAUUGUUGAAAGGGAAGCGCUUGCGACCAGAGUCGGCCGUGGGGGUUCAGCGGGCAUUCGUUGCCCGUGCACUCCCCCACGGGCGGGCCAGCGUCGGUUUCGACGGCCGGUCAAAGGCCCCCGGAAUGUGUCGCCUCUCGGGGCGUCUUAUAGCCGGGGGUGCAAUGCGGCCAGUCGGGACCGAGGAACGCGCUUCGGCACGGACGCUGGCUUAAUGGUCGUAAGCGACCCGUCUUGAAACACGGACC
RNAcentral lists this ribosomal RNA (569 nucleotides) under Blastomyces dermatitidis. Its description in RNAcentral is "eukaryotic LSU rRNA". It matches the Rfam family "Eukaryotic large subunit ribosomal RNA", at positions 85 to 667 of the family's 3401-position model. Lineage: Eukaryota; Fungi; Ascomycota; Eurotiomycetes; Onygenales; Ajellomycetaceae. The record is from RNAcentral.